GACGAACGCUGGCGGCGUGCCUAAUACAUGCAAGUUGAGCGCUGAAGGUUGGUCCUUGUACCAACUGGAUGAGCAGCGAACGGGUGAGUAACGCGUGGGGAAUCUGCCUUUGAGCGGGGGACAACAUUUGGAAACGAAUGCUAAUACCGCAUAAAAACUUUAAACACAAGUUUUAAGUUUGAAAGAUGCAAUUGCAUCACUCAAAGAUGAUCCCGCGUUGUAUUAGCUAGUUGGUGAGGUAAAGGCUCACCAAGGCGAUGAUACAUAGCCGACCUGAGAGGGUGAUCGGCCACAUUGGGACUGAGACACGGCCCAAACCCCUACGGGAGGCAGCAGUAGGGAAUCUUCGGCAAUGGACGAAAGUCUGACCGAGCAACGCCGCGUGAGUGAAGAAGGUUUUCGGAUCGUAAAACUCUGUUGGUAGAGAAGAACGUUGGUGAGAGUGGAAAGCUCAUCAAGUGACGGUAACUACCCAGAAAGGGACGGCUAACUACGUG
This 497-nucleotide ribosomal RNA is filed under the name uncultured bacterium. RNAcentral describes it as "partial 16S ribosomal RNA". It matches the Rfam family "Bacterial small subunit ribosomal RNA", at positions 28 to 507 of the family's 1533-position model. The record is from RNAcentral.